UAGAGGCUUUCAGCUGGCCGUAGAGGCUUUCAGCUGGCCGUAGAGGCUUUCAGCUGGCCGUAGAGGCUUUCAGCUGGCCGUAGUGGCUUUCGGCUGGCUGUAGAGGCUUUCAGCUGGCCGUAGAGGCUUUCGGCUGGCCGUAGAGGCUUUCAGCUGGCCGUAGAGGCUUUCAGCUGGCCGUAGAGGCUUUCAGCUGGCCGUAGAGGCUUUCAGCUGGCCGUAGAGGCUUUCAGCUGGCCGUAGAGGCUUUCGGCUGGCUUUCAGCUGGCCGUAGAGGCUUUCAGCUGGCCGUAGAGGCUUUCAGCUGGCCGUAGAGGCUUUCAGCUGGCCGUAGAGGCUUUCAGCUGGCCAUAGAGGCUUUCAGCUGGCCGUAGAGGCUUUCAGCUGGCUGUAGAGGCUUUCAGCUGCUGUUAGAGGCUUUCCUGCUAAGAUGUGUGUGUGACACCUGCUCUUGAUAAUAUGGAUGAUGCAAGAGAAACAAAACCCACACAUGCCAACUUGCCUUUGGCUUGACAGACUCAAAAGAGGCACUUGAAGACUGUAUGUUUUGAUUGGCUGGUUUUCAGACCUUUAAUGAUACAAAAAAAAUUGAUUGUGCACUUAAUUGAAAGUAUUCUUUUGAACAGGUUUCCAUGUUGGGAAAGUUCUACAUCAGU
RNAcentral lists this long non-coding RNA (656 nucleotides) under Salmo salar (Atlantic salmon). RNAcentral describes it as "lncRNA (ENSSSAG00000084165.1)". Lineage: Eukaryota; Metazoa; Chordata; Actinopteri; Salmoniformes; Salmonidae. The record is from RNAcentral.